UACGUAGGGGGCAAGCGUUGUCCGGAAUUAUUGGGCGUAAAGAGCGUGUAGGCGGCCAGAUAAGUCCGCUGUGAAAUCUCGAGGCUCAACUUCGAGCUGUCGGUGGAAACUAUCUGGCUAGAGUCCGGAAGAGGAGAGUGGAAUUCCUGGUGUAGCGGUGAAAUGCGCAGAUAUCAGGAAGAACACCCGUGGCGAAGGCGGUUCUCUGGGACGGUACUGACGCUGAGACGCGAAAGCGUGGGGAGCGAACAGG
This 253-nucleotide ribosomal RNA is filed under the name uncultured bacterium. RNAcentral's name for it is "partial 16S ribosomal RNA". It matches the Rfam family "Bacterial small subunit ribosomal RNA", at positions 524 to 776 of the family's 1533-position model. The record is from RNAcentral.